Molecule: ribosomal RNA, 474 nt
Filed under: uncultured bacterium
Lineage: Bacteria
Description: bacterial SSU rRNA
Rfam family: Bacterial small subunit ribosomal RNA
Source: RNAcentral
CAGGCCUAACACAUGCAAGUCGAACGGUGGCAGCAAUGUCAUAGUGGCGCACGGGUGCGUAACACGUAACUAACCUGCCCAAGACUGGGGGAUAGCCCGCCGAAAGGCGGAUUAAUACCGCAUAAUAUCUUUUACUGGCAUCAGUGAUUGAUUAAACCUGAGGGGGUCUUGGAUGGGGUUGCGGGUCAUUAGCUAGUUGGUACGGUAACGGCGUACUAAGGCGACGAUGACUAGGGGAGCUGAGAGGCUGGUCCCCCACACGGGCACUGAGAUACGGGCCCGACUCCUACGGGAGGCAGCAGUAGGGAAUAUUGGGCAAUGGGCGAGAGCCUGACCCAGCCAUGCCGCGUGCAGGAAGAAGGCUUUCUGAGUCGUAAACUGCUUUUGAUAGGGAAGAAUAACCAGUACGUGUACUGGGAUGACGGUACCUACAGAAUAAGCACCGGCUAACUCCGUGCCAGCAGCCGCGGUAAU